This 381-nucleotide ribosomal RNA is filed under the name uncultured eukaryote. RNAcentral describes it as "partial 18S ribosomal RNA". It matches the Rfam family "Eukaryotic small subunit ribosomal RNA", at positions 592 to 976 of the family's 1831-position model. The record is from RNAcentral.
CAAUAGCGUAUAUUAAAGUUGUUGCGGUAAAAAAGCUCGUAGUUGGAUUUCUACCGAAGAUAGCCGGCCGGGUCUUCGACCUUGUAUCUGGUUUUGUCUUUGGUAUCCUCAUAGGGAACGUUUCUGCGCUUUAUUGCGUGGUGCGGUAUCUAUGACUUUUACUUUGAGGAAAUUAGAGUGUUCACGGCAGGCAAACGCCUUGAAUAUAUUAGCAUGGAAUAAUAACAUAGGAUCUUCGUCCUAUUUUGUUGGUUUCUAGGGCUAAGAUAAUGAUUAAUAGGGAUAAUUGGGGGCAUCUGUAUCAACGCGUCAGAGGUGGAAUUCUUGGAUUGCGUUGCGACAAACUACUGCGAAAGCAUUUGCCAAGGAUGUUUUCAUUGA